AAAAAGUAAGAUCUUACAGCAAGUCAGCAGGGUCCACCAAGGUCUUUGGCCAGAAGCAGAGAGUUUACCAUGUGGACACAGGAAAUAGCAGUAGAGUGACUAGGGUGGGUUGGUCCUUAACCACUCAGGAAUUUCAGGAAUUCCGACCAUGGGUAAAACCCAGUGCGGUGACACUCUCAUGUUCUCACCAACCAGGAAACCACUUGCUCUGCUUUGGGGAGGAGUUAGUGGAGGACUGGGCGUGGGCAGAAAAAUGGACACAUUUUGCUUCCCUGAUGGACAGAGGGAGGAAGUGGGAAGGGGAGACUAAAUGUUCCUGGACAGGAAAGCAUAUAUCCAGAAUUGGAAAUCACAUCUAAUCAACUGAAUAGAUGAAUUUUUGAAUAGACUCAACAAACCAGUAAGAGGUGGUCGAAGCAUCAUUCAUAACAAAAGAAUGUCCUGUAUCAUUUUAAUGACUGUGGCGUGUGACUUUGUUCUUAGCACAAUGAGUAACAAAGCCAAAACACUGGAGAAUACGUUUAUGCAUUCAAGAAAACCUCAGACAGGGCAGAAUGCUUUCAUAAUGCAGUACAUUAAAAUCAGACGAAGCCUCGAAGGACAGAAUCGCCGACCCUGAAAAAUCUCAAGCUGGAAAUCAGAGUGUACUACAGAAGACAACAGCGUUUGAGGACAUUUGCUGAAGCAGCCUCCUCUCCCUUAAGGUCUGAUAAUCCCACACGGUUUUUACCAAGCUCUCUGGCCUUCCCGGAACGUCAAUAAAAACUGCAUUCCCCGACUUUUGUUGGUGGUUUCUUCCCUAAACUUUAGGGAAGUGGUGGUUUAUGUGGUGUUAUCUUCCCUAAGCUUUAAUUUAAUAUGAUCUUACUUAGGCAUUUCUUUUAGAGAGUAGGUCAUUGUAACGAAGCGUUUUUCACCCUCUGGGAAAGAGGUUUCCACAUAAGGGCCAGGCCGUGUUUUCCCUUUCAUCCAGUGAUUCCACCAUAAGCAGCCACUCAUCUUCACUUUUCCCAACAAUUUUCUUAAAAUCAGUGUAUUUUUUUGCAGGACCGGAUAUCACAUUACAGUCUCUAGUCAGGGGUGGGGGGUGGGAUGUGAAGUGAGAACAAAGAAUGGUAACUCCCGAAGCGAUUUUUUUAAUGUAAACUUUGUUAGGAAGCAUAACAUACACACGUGCCAACAUAAAGGGUGCAACUCCAUGUAAUUUUAUGCAGACACUCACUCAUGGAACCACAACUAGAACAGGAAAUAGGAUUUUGCCAGCACCCCAGAAGCUCCUAUAAGGCACCUUGCAGUCACUCCCCUCCCCUACCCCACCCCAGAAGAUAACAAGUUCAUUUUCUGACUUCUAUCACUGUAGAUUAAUUUGCCGCUAUUCCGAACUUCCGUAAAUGGAAUCGGACAGUACACACUCUUUGGUACCUGGCUCAACAGUCUGUUCCUUGAGUCUGCUGAAGCAGUCAUUUCUUCAAUUUUAUUGCUGACUCAUAUUCUGUGCUAUGAAAAUGUAACAAUUUAUUUUUCCAUUCUACUACUGAUGGGCCUUCAGAUUCUAAUAUUUGCCCAUAAUGAAAAAUGCUGCAAUAAGAAUUGUUGUGCACGUCUUCUGAGAGCACAUGUACCUAUUUCUGUGGAUAUAGACCUAGAAGUGUAAUAUCUGGGUCACAAAUAGUCGUGUGCCUAUGCAGGCUUGUACUGGCUCAUGACAGCCCAGUUUUUGCAAUCCAAUUGUUAAAU
Molecule: long non-coding RNA, 1737 nt
Organism: Chlorocebus sabaeus (green monkey)
Lineage: Eukaryota; Metazoa; Chordata; Mammalia; Primates; Cercopithecidae
Source: RefSeq, a predicted model, not a curated record